Molecule: ribosomal RNA, 625 nt
Filed under: bacterium TN58A
Lineage: Bacteria
Description: bacterial SSU rRNA
Rfam family: Bacterial small subunit ribosomal RNA
Source: RNAcentral
UGGCUGAGGAUGAACGCUGGCGGCGUGCUUAACACAUGCAAGUCGAACGAUGAUCUCCAGCUUGCUGGGGGGAUUAGUGGCGAACGGGUGAGUAACACGUGAGUAACCUGCCCUUGACUCUGGGAUAAGCCUGGGAAACUGGGUCUAAUACCGGAUAUGACCAUCUGGCGCAUGUCAUGGUGGUGGAAAGCUUUUUUGUGGUUUUGGAUGGACUCGCGGCCUAUCAGCUUGUUGGUGGGGUAAUGGCCUACCAAGGCGACGACGGGUAGCCGGCCUGAGAGGGUGACCGGCCACACUGGGACUGAGACACGGCCCAGACUCCUACGGGAGGCAGCAGUGGGGAAUAUUGCACAAUGGGCGCAAGCCUGAUGCAGCGACGCCGCGUGAGGGAUGACGGCCUUCGGGUUGUAAACCUCUUUCAGUAGGGAAGAAGCGUAAGUGACGGUACCUGCAGAAGAAGCGCCGGCUAACUACGUGCCAGCAGCCGCGGUAAUACGUAGGGCGCAAGCGUUAUCCGGAAUUAUUGGGCGUAAAGAGCUCGUAGGCGGUUUGUCGCGUCUGCUGUGAAAGACCGGGGCUCAACUCCGGUUCUGCAGUGGGUACGGGCAGACUAGAGUGCAGUAGG